This 501-nucleotide ribosomal RNA is filed under the name uncultured bacterium. RNAcentral describes it as "partial 16S ribosomal RNA". It matches the Rfam family "Bacterial small subunit ribosomal RNA", at positions 899 to 1397 of the family's 1533-position model. The record is from RNAcentral.
ACUCAAAGGAAUUGACGGGGACCCGCACAAGCGGUGGAGCAUGUGGAUUAAUUCGAUACUAACCGAAGAACCUUACCCAGGUUUGACAUCGAUCGCAAAAUCCAGAGAUGGGUUCCUCCCCCACAAGGGGACGUGAAGACACUUGUUGCAUGGCUGUCGUCAGCUCGUGCCGUGAGGUGUACGGUUAAGUCCGCCAACGAGCGCAACCCUCGUUCUGUGUUACCAGCAUUAAAGAUGGGGACUCACAGGAGACCGCCGGUGUAAGCCGGAGGAAGGUGGGGAUGACGUCAAGUCAGCAUGGCAGUUACGCCUGGGGCUUCACACAUGCUACAAUGGGCGAAACAAAGGGCAGCGAUACCGUGAGGUGGAGCCAAUCCCAAAAAUACGCCCUCAGUUCAGAUUGCAGUCUGCAACUCGACUGCAUGAAGUCGGAAUCGCUAGUAAACGCAGGUCAGCUAUACUGCGUUGAAUACGUUCCCGGGUCUUGUACACACCGCCCGU